GAUGAACGCUGGCGGCGUGCUUAACACAUGCAAGUCGAACGGAAAGGCCCAAGCUUGCUUGGGUACUCGAGUGGCGAACGGGUGAGUAACACGUGGGUGAUCUGCCCUGCACUUCGGGAUAAGCCUGGGAAACUGGGUCUAAUACCGGAUAGGACCACUUCUUGGAUGUUGUGGUGGAAAGUUUUUUCGGUGUGGGAUGAGCUCGCGGCCUAUCAGCUUGUUGGUGGGGUAAUGGCCUACCAAGGCGUCGACGGGUAGCCGGCCUGAGAGGGUGUACGGCCACAUUGGGACUGAGAUACGGCCCAGACUCCUACGGGAGGCAGCAGUGGGGAAUAUUGCACAAUGGGCGCAAGCCUGAUGCAGCGACGCCGCGUGGGGGAUGACGGCCUUCGGGUUGUAAACUCCUUUCGCUAGGGACGAAGCGUUUUGUGACGGUACCUGGUGAAGAAGCACCGGCUAACUACGUG
RNAcentral lists this ribosomal RNA (467 nucleotides) under uncultured bacterium. RNAcentral describes it as "partial 16S ribosomal RNA". It matches the Rfam family "Bacterial small subunit ribosomal RNA", at positions 28 to 507 of the family's 1533-position model. The record is from RNAcentral.